CCUCCGCGGCAGGAGGGCCGGAAGCCUUUCCUGCCUUCUCAGACGCUGGAAAAAGCUGACUCGUGAGGUCUCAAGAGGGUGGCUAGCCCCGUUGCUGUGGAAACAGCUAGUCUGUGCCUCCCCCACCGUAACCCGAGGCUACGCUGGAGAGGUUGCCGCCCUCUUUUCCGGCUCUUCAGCUCCGGUGACCGCCCAGCCUCCUGACACAGACGCUCAGAGUGCGAAUCCAGGGCCUGCUGCCCCUUGGGCAGACCUCCGCCCACCACCUAUAUUGUUAUGUUGCAUGAUACUGGUUGGUUUGCGCCUGUGUCUCUAAUAGAUUCAGCUGCCUGAGGGCAGGGGCGGUAUCUUUUUUUGCGUUUGCAUUCCUAACGUCCAGCACGCCUUAUGUAAGAGGAAUCAGGGACGAGGAGACUGAAUACCCACCAAAAAGGAAGUUUGAAUUGGGAGCUAAUAUGGGAGCAAAGAUGAUAUCCUUCCAUCUGGACAGACUACAGAGGCUGAACCAUUUACUUAAAAUUUACUAGAUGUUUGGCACUGUGCGUGAAUUGUCUCAUCUAAUGCAACUCUGACAGGCUCCCAGGGGAUUCCGAUGCUGCUAGUCCCUGGACCACACUUUGAGCAUCAAGGCUGUAGAAUUUUUACUGCUGAUAUGAAAAGACAUUACCAAAAUAUGAUGAAAUAAA
Molecule: long non-coding RNA, 686 nt
Organism: Camelus dromedarius (Arabian camel)
Lineage: Eukaryota; Metazoa; Chordata; Mammalia; Artiodactyla; Camelidae
Exons: 2
Source: RefSeq, a predicted model, not a curated record